UGGGGAAUAUUGGACAAUGGGCGCAAGCCUGAUCCAGCAAUGCCGCGUGGGUGAAGAAGGUCUUCGGAUUGUAAAGCCCUUUCGACGGGGACGAUGAUGACGGUACCCGUAGAAGAAGCCCCGGCUAACUUCGUGCCAGCAGCCGCGGUAAUACGAAGGGGGCUAGCGUUGCUCGGAAUGACUGGGCGUAAAGGGCGCGUAGGCGGAUCUGACAGUCAGAUGUGAAAUUCCUGGGCUCAACCUGGGGGCUGCAUUUGAUACGUGAGGUCUUGAGUCCGGAAGAGGGUGGUGGAAUUCCCAGUGUAGAGGUGAAAUUCGUAGAUAUUGGGAAGAACACCGGUGGCGAAGGCGGCCACCUGGUCCGGAACUGACGCUGAGGCGCGAAAGCGUGGGGAGCAAACAG
RNAcentral lists this ribosomal RNA (403 nucleotides) under uncultured bacterium. RNAcentral's name for it is "bacterial SSU rRNA". It matches the Rfam family "Bacterial small subunit ribosomal RNA", at positions 355 to 775 of the family's 1533-position model. The record is from RNAcentral.